This 73-nucleotide transfer RNA is filed under the name Pangasianodon gigas (Mekong giant catfish). RNAcentral's name for it is "tRNA-Ala". It matches the Rfam family "tRNA". Rfam says of the family: Transfer RNA (tRNA) molecules are approximately 80 nucleotides in length. Their secondary structure includes four short double-helical elements and three loops (D, anti-codon, and T loops). Further hydrogen bonds mediate the characteristic L-shaped molecular structure. tRNAs have two regions of fundamental functional importance: the anti-codon, which is responsible for specific mRNA codon recognition, and the 3' end, to which the tRNAs corresponding amino acid is attached (by aminoacyl-tRNA synthetases). tRNAs cope with the degeneracy of the genetic code in two manners: having more than one tRNA (with a specific anti-codon) for a particular amino acid; and 'wobble' base-pairing, i.e. permitting non-standard base-pairing at the 3rd anti-codon position. Lineage: Eukaryota; Metazoa; Chordata; Actinopteri; Siluriformes; Pangasiidae. The record is from RNAcentral.
GGGGGAUUAGCUCAAGUGGUAGAGCGCUCGCUUCGCAUGCGAGAGGCAGUGGGAUCGAUGCCCACAUCCUCCA